This 448-nucleotide ribosomal RNA is filed under the name uncultured bacterium. Its description in RNAcentral is "SSU rRNA". It matches the Rfam family "Bacterial small subunit ribosomal RNA", at positions 26 to 518 of the family's 1533-position model. The record is from RNAcentral.
AGAGCGAACGCUGGCGGCAUGCUUAACACAUGCAAGUCGCACGGGCACUUUCGGGUGUCAGUGGCGGACGGGUGAGUAACGCGUAGGUAUCUGUCCAUGGGUGGGGGAUAACGCCGGGAAACUGGUGCUAAUACCGCAUGAUGACUGAGGUCCAAAGGCGCAAGUCGCCUGUGGAGGAGCCUGCGUUCGAUUAGCUUGUUGGUGGGGUAACGCCUACCAAGGCGACGAUCGAUAGCUGGUCUGAGAGGAUGAUCAGCCACAUUGGGACUGAGACACGGCCCAAACUCCUACGGGAGGCAGCAGUGGGGAAUAUUGGACAAUGGGCGCAAGCCUGAUCCAGCAAUGCCGCGUGGAUGAAGAAGGUCUUCGGAUUGUAAAGUCCUUUCGACGGGGACGAUGAUGACGGUACCCGUAGAAGAGCCCCGGCUAACUUCGUGCCAGCAGCCGC